This 10485-nucleotide long non-coding RNA is filed under the name Gossypium raimondii (Peruvian cotton). RNAcentral describes it as "long non-coding RNA (GRAI_LNC002499)". Lineage: Eukaryota; Viridiplantae; Streptophyta; Magnoliopsida; Malvales; Malvaceae. The record is from RNAcentral.
UGUAUCAAACUCAGAAGCAUGCACUCGUGACAUAGACUGUUUGGGCCAGUGUAAACAUGGUGGUUUUUGUGACUUGACAACUAAAAAAUGUAGUUGCCUGCCGGUGUCGGGGCAUCUACCAUCUAACAUUGCAGCAACAGUGGACGCUAUGCAGCGAUGACGAAAACUGCAAAGGACUGCCCACCAGCUUGUUAAGCCCAUAACAUUCAAGGUGGCAUUUGUGUCUGCAAACGUUGUGCCUGAAGAAAAAAGAAUCCGAACAAAAAAACUCUAAAUUUAAGCCUUUCGACAAUGCCAUAUAUUUUAAGAUAAACUUUGUAUCCAAAAAAUUGGCAAAUAAAUUAUUAGUGAAUAAAAAGGUUGUCAAAGAGAACUUAUUUACUUAUGUUAUACUUCGUUCAAGUAUCGUAACUUCAUAUAUUUUCAAUUGAACAUGCAUGGUUCUAAUUUUCGAUCCAUCGAAUUUAUAUGUUGUCAAUGCAAUCCUUUAAUUACUGGAUUUAACGACUACUGUUAUAAUAUCAUGCCAGCUAGUCAUUUCCACAUAAUUCGCACAAAAAGAGGCUUGAUUUAAUUAAUGGAUUUAACGACUACUGCUUGGGUUAAGAUAGAGAUAUCAAAAGUCAAAAAAUGAUCUAAUUGGAGAAUAGGAACUAAACCUACAACUUACCGAUACUAUGAGAUUGAUAACAUAAUUUAAUCUACCCUACAGUUUAUUUGGGCACUAGGAUUUCAAAUUUUAAAAAUUAGAUACAAUAAUCGUGGGGGGAGAUGUAGAGGGACAAGGGACGGGUAAAUUUUUAUUUUUUAUCAUAACAUAUUUAUUUACUUUAAUAUUAAUAUAAAAUUAUUUUUAAUUAAAUUUUAAUGGGGUGUUGACUUUAGCAAUCCCAUUAGUUAAAACUUUAUUUCAAUGGCACUAACUACGGGUACCAACUCCAGUAACAGAAUCAAAGUUUAGGUAUUCGGAUUGGUCAAAAAAUAGUUUCAAUACCUAUGUCAAACAAAGCAAACAGUUCAAGGGCCUCCUAUUCAAUUAAGCCUUUAAUAAAAUCUCAAAUUGAAGAGAAGGAUGUUGGUAAAUGUGCUCGUAUUAUAGUAAACAUUUACCUAUUUUCUAUGCAUUUGAACGAGGAAUAAAUAAAUAAAGUUAAUAUCACAUUUCACUUUUAUAUCUUGUGUUUCUGUCUUCCAUGUUUUACAUACGUAUCGAAAUUGUAACAAGCAAAUGUUAGCUCAUUGAUUGUCUAAGUUGAAACUGANNNNNNNNNNNNNNNNNNNNNNNNNNNNNNNNNNNNNNNNNNNNNNNNNNNNNNNNNNNNNNNNNNNNNNNNNNNNNNNNNNNNNNNNNNNNNNNNNNNNGAUAAGUGUGGCACUACAAGAAUGUUUACAUUUCCAGAAAGACAAUUUACUUCUAUUGAUAAUCUAAACGAGUCAGUAAUCCCGUAAAAGAAUCAAAGUGAGCAUUUGAUUCAAAUACUCAGAAGCAUUAUUAUGUCGUCUACAAUUCUAGUUAGGGAGAUGAUUAGUGUUGGCUGUCCGAGCAGUUGAAUCCACGGGUAGAGACAUAAAUUUAUUGCUUGGAAGAAUGAGACAUUAGACUGAACCUAAGAUGGAUCAAUUCACUUGUGACGUUCAUGGUGUGACUUACCUAAAUCCUGAGUUAGUCACUGACCAUGCGUAUGUAACUCAUGUGCUUUGAUAUUAGUGUACGCUUAUGCUCUUAACAUGACCGAGUCGAUAGCCAAUAUAUUGGGUACAUGACUUGCGUUUGGCAUUGCUUUACUAGCAACAAUGAAAUCCAUACCUCGACUAAGAGUUAACGAUAUCUUUUAUUGAUAUUGUUUGGAUUGAUAAAAUUGGAUUUGGCCACGGGGUUUCUUGUUUUCGAACGGGUAAUUUGUCACAGUCAUUAGUUGACAUUGAUCAUUUUAACAACUAAGAAGACACAAUGAUGACGAUAAGAUAAAAUAUGAUUUUAUCGAGUGAAUAAAUCUAACUCAAAGGACUCAAUGAUAUCAUAUGAGAUCAUUAGACAAUGUAGUUGGAUGAAUUACUUUCAUAAAGAGUAAACAAUAAGUAGUUUUCAAUCGUGGUACUACAUGUGGACUGACUUCAAGAUUAAGUAAAUUGUGAAUUAUAUGAACGAAGCUUCUGGACGUAAUUGCAUUUACUCGAGCCUAAUUGUAUAUGUCCAAUUCGUCCCUCUGGUAGCUCAACAAAAGCUCAAACGGACUGCAUUUAAAUCAAAAGAAAAUUCUAUGACUUUUGAAAUAAUUUAAUUGAGUCGAUUUAUUCAGGAUAACUAUUGUGCCACCUUUAUUAGAAACACAUUGAGUUGGACUUACUCUCUCACUAUCGAAGAUAACAUACACAAUACAAACAUCCAACCAUUUAGUGAUUUCUUUUUUCACUACCUCCUCCAUAGUUGGGUUUAACUGACAUUACGCAUCAACAAUUGGCUUUUUACCUUAUUCCAGCAAAAGUUAUAAAAAUAUAAAUUAUCAAAACAAAAAACGAUCUAAUUAGAGAAUAUGAACUAAAUCCACAACUAACACAUAGUACGAGACUAAUAGCAUAAUUUAAUCUAACAAAUUUGACUUCUAUUGUUUAUGCGAGUACUAGAAUUUCAAAUUAAAAAGGUAGAAUAAUUAAAUUUGAUCAGAUAAAACUAAAAGGACUAAAUCCACAACUAAUGUAUGGUAAAAAGAUUAAUAAAAAAAGUCAAUCGUAUGAAUUAGGGUUUGUUUUUUAAGUUUACGAGCACAAUUACUAAGGUGUGGAUAAAAAUAAUAGCCAAUUAUUUGCAAUUUUUUAUUACCUUCAAGUUCUUGUAUAAAAAUAUUAUUUUCAAUUAAUUAUCAAAAAAAGGAAAAUGUUAAUAUAUGGUAAGUAAAUCUAAAUUAAUUGUGCUAUUAUUAUCUUGCCAUCGGUGACGUAUAAAGCAUAGUGCAAAAUCUCCUAUAUGAUUUUUCUCUUCCUACAAAAUUCGCAAGUAUAUCUUCACCUACCAAGUCAUAACUUUACUGCAAUAUUAGGUUAAAGAAAUUCCAAGAAAUUCAACUAUAAAUGGCCAAAUGCAUGUCAUUUUUUCUAUCAUCAGCUUGUUAUCAUAUAACUAACUCUUUGUUUCAUCUCUCAAUAGCUUUCAUUUUAAACUAUGGCUUCUUUCGGCGUGGUUUCUCUUUUUGCGGUUUUGCUUGUGGCUUCUUGUUAGUAUCUAAAAUAUUUAUCCAGUUCGAUAUUUAAUUAUUACAUACAUAUAUAUACAAGUAACUUUUUUAGUAUAAAAGCGAUUGCAGUAUUAAAAUAAGGGAGGGGUUGCAAUCGUUGCGAUUCAAAUCCUAUGUGUCUUAAACUAAUUAUAUAUAAUAGCUAAUAUAAAAUAACUAACAAAAUUUUUAAAUGAUGAAAAAUUUGUUGUUUAAUUUGCAGGUGUAUCAAACUCAGAAGCAUGCACUCGUGACAUAGACUGUUUGGGCCAGUGUAAACAUGGUGGUUUUUGUGACUUGACAACUAAAAAAUGUAGUUGCUUGCCGGUGUCGGGGCAUCUACCAUCUAACAUUGCAGCAACAGUGGACGCUAUGCAGCGAUGACGAAAACUGCAAAGGAUUGCCCACCAGCUUGUUAAGCCCAUAACAUUCAAGGUGGCAUUUGUGUCUGCAAACGUUGUGCCUGAAGAAAAAAGAAUCCGAACAAAAAAACUCUAAAUUUAAGCCUUUCGACAAUGCCAUAUAUUUUAAGAUAAACUUUGUAUCCAAAAAAUUGGCAAAUAAAUUAUUAGUGAACAAAAAGGUUGUCAAAGAGAACUUAUUUACUUAUGUUAUACUUCGUUCAAGUAUCGUAACUUCAUAUAUUUUCAAUUGAACAUGCAUGGUUCUAAUUUUCGAUCCAUCGAAUUUAUAUACUGUCAAUGCAAUCCUUUAAUUACUGGAUUUAACGACUACUGUUAUAAUAUCAUGCCAGCUAGUCAUUUCCACAUAAUUCGCACAAAAAGAGGCUUGAUUUAAUUAAUGGAUUUAACGACUACUGCUUGGGUUAAGAUAGAGAUAUCAAAAGUCAAAAAAUGAUCUAAUUGGAGAAUAGGAACUAAACCUACAACUUACCGAUACUAUGAGAUUGAUAACAUAAUUUAAUCUACCCUACAGUUUAUUUGGGCACUAGGAUUUCAAAUUUUAAAAAUUAGAUACAAUAAUCGUGGGGGGAGAUGUAGAGGGACAAGGGACGGGUAAAUUUUUAUUUUUUAUCAUAACAUAUUUAUUUACUUUAAUAUUAAUAUAAAAUUAUUUUUAAUUAAAUUUUAAUGGGGUUUUGACUUUAGCAAUCCCAUUAGUUAAAACUUUAUUUCAAUGGCACUAACUACGGGUACCAACUCCAGUAACAGAAUCAAAGUUUAGGUAUUCGGAUUGGUCAAAAAAUAGUUUCAGUACCUAUGUCAAACAAAGCAAAUAGUUCAAGGGCCUCCUAUUCAAUUAAGCCUUUAAUAAAAUCUCAAAUUAAAGAGAAGGAUGUUGGUAAAUGUGCUCGUAUUGUAGUAAACAUUUACCUAUUUUCUAUGCAUUUGAACGAUGAAUAAAUAAAUAAAGUUAAUGUCACAUUUCACUUUUACAUCUUGUGUUUCUGUCUUCCAUGUUUUACUUAUGUGUCGAAAUUGUAACAAGCAAAUGUUAGCUCAUUGAGUGUCUAAGUUGAAACUGAUGAUGUGGCACUACAAGAAUGUUUACAUUUCCAGAAAGACAAUUUACUUCUAUUGAUAAUCUAAACGAGUCAGUAAUCCCGUAAAAGAAUCAAAGUGAGCAUUUGAUUCAAAUACUCAGAAGCAUUAUUAUGUCGUCUACAAUUCUAGUUAGGGAGAUGAUUAGUGUUGGCUGCCCGAGCAGUUGAAUCCACGGGUAGAGACAUAAAUUUAUUGCUUGGAAGAAUGAGACAUUAGACUGAACCUAAGAUGGAUCAAUUCACUUGUGACGUUCAUGGUGUGACUUACCUAAAUCCUGAGUUAGUCACUGACCAUGCGUAUGUAACUCAUGUGCUUUGAUAUUAGUGUACGCUUAUGCUCUUAACAUGACCGAGUCGAUAGCCAAUAUAUUGGGUACAUGACUUGCGUUUGGCAUUGCUUUACUAGCAACAAUGAAAUCCAUACCUCGACUAAGAGUUAACGAUAUCUUUUAUUGAUAUUGUUUGGAUUGAUAAAAUUGGAUUUGGCCACGGGGUUUCUUGUUUUCGAACGGGUAAUUUGUCACAGUCAUUAGUUGACAUUGAUCAUUUUAACAACUAAGAAGACACAAUGAUGACGAUAAGAUAAAAUAUGAUUUUAUCGAGUGAAUAAAUCUAACUCAAAGGACUCAAUGAUAUCAUAUGAGAUCAUUAGACAAUGUAGUUGGAUGAAUUACUUUCAUAAAGAGUAAACAAUAAGUAGUUUUCAAUCGUGGUACUACAUGUGGACUGACUUCAAGAUUAAGUAAAUUGUGAAUUAUAUGAACGAAGCUUCUGGACGUAAUUGCAUUUACUCGAGCCUAAUUGUAUAUGUCCAAUUCGUCCCUCUGGUAGCUCAACAAAAGCUCAAACGGACUGCAUUUAAAUCAAAAGAAAAUUCUAUGACUUUUGAAAUAAUUUAAUUGAGUCGAUUUAUUCAGGAUAACUAUUGUGCCACCUUUAUUAGAAACACAUUGAGUUGGACUUACUCUCUCACUAUCGAAGAUAACAUACACAAUACAAACAUCCAACCAUUUAGUGAUUUCUUUUUUCACUACCUCCUCCAUAGUUGGGUUUAACUGACAUUACGCAUCAACAAUUGGCUUUUUACCUUAUUCCAGCAAAAGUUAUAAAAAUAUAAAUUAUAAAAACAAAAAACGAUCUAAUUAGAGAAUAUGAACUAAAUCCACAACUAACACAUAGUACGAGACUAAUAGCAUAAUUUAAUCUAACAAAUUUGACUUCUAUUGUUUAUGCAAGUACUAGAAUUUCAAAUUAAAAAGGUAGAAUAAUUAAAUUUGAUCAGAUAAAACUAAAAGGACUAAAUCCACAACUAAUGUAUGGUAAAAAGAUUAAUAAAAAAAGUCAAUCGUAUGAAUUAGGGUUUGUUUUUUAAGUUUACGAGCACAAUUACUAAGGUGUGGAUAAAAAUAAUAGCCAAUUAUUUGCAAUUUUUUAUUACCUUCAAGUUCUUGUAUAAAAAUAUUAUUUUCAAUUAAUUAUCAAAAAAAGGAAAAUGUUAAUAUAUGGUAAGUAAAUCUAAAUUAAUUGUGCUAUUAUUAUCUUGCCAUCGGUGACGUAUAAAGCAUAGUGCAAAAUCUCCUAUAUGAUUUUUCUCUUCCUACAAAAUUCGCAAGUAUAUCUUCACCUACCAAGUCAUAACUUUACUGCAAUAUUAGGUUAAAGAAAUUCCAAGAAAUUCAACUAUAAAUGGCCAAAUGCAUGUCAUUUUUUCUAUCAUCAGCUUGUUAUCAUAUAACUAACUCUUUGUUUCAUCUCUCAAUAGCUUUCAUUUUAAACUAUGGCUUCUUUCGGCGUGGUUUCUCUUUUUGCGGUUUUGCUUGUGGCUUCUUGUUAGUAUCUAAAAUAUUUAUCCAGUUCGAUAUUUAAUUAUUACAUACAUAUAUAUACAAGUAACUUUUUUAGUAUAAAAGCGAUUGCAGUAUUAAAAUAAGGGAGGGGUUGCAAUCGUUGCGAUUCAAAUCCUAUGUGUCUUAAACUAAUUAUAUAUAAUAGCUAAUAUAAAAUAACUAACAAAAUUUUUAAAUGAUGAAAAAUUUGUUGUUUAAUUUGCAGGUGUAUCAAACUCAGAAGCAUGCACUCGUGACAUAGACUGUUUGGGCCAGUGUAAACAUGGUGGUUUUUGUGACUUGACAACUAAAAAAUGUAGUUGCUUGCCGGUGUCGGGGCAUCUACCAUCUAACAUUGCAGCAACAGUGGACGCUAUGCAGCGAUGACGAAAACUGCAAAGGAUUGCCCACCAGCUUGUUAAGCCCAUAACAUUCAAGGUGGCAUUUGUGUCUGCAAACGUUGUGCCUGAAGAAAAAAGAAUCCGAACAAAAAAACUCUAAAUUUAAGCCUUUCGACAAUGCCAUAUAUUUUAAGAUAAACUUUGUAUCCAAAAAAUUGGCAAAUAAAUUAUUAGUGAACAAAAAGGUUGUCAAAGAGAACUUAUUUACUUAUGUUAUACUUCGUUCAAGUAUCGUAACUUCAUAUAUUUUCAAUUGAACAUGCAUGGUUCUAAUUUUCGAUCCAUCGAAUUUAUAUACUGUCAAUGCAAUCCUUUAAUUACUGGAUUUAACGACUACUGUUAUAAUAUCAUGCCAGCUAGUCAUUUCCACAUAAUUCGCACAAAAAGAGGCUUGAUUUAAUUAAUGGAUUUAACGACUACUGCUUGGGUUAAGAUAGAGAUAUCAAAAGUCAAAAAAUGAUCUAAUUGGAGAAUAGGAACUAAACCUACAACUUACCGAUACUAUGAGAUUGAUAACAUAAUUUAAUCUACCCUACAGUUUAUUUGGGCACUAGGAUUUCAAAUUUUAAAAAUUAGAUACAAUAAUCGUGGGGGGAGAUGUAGAGGGACAAGGGACGGGUAAAUUUUUAUUUUUUAUCAUAACAUAUUUAUUUACUUUAAUAUUAAUAUAAAAUUAUUUUUAAUUAAAUUUUAAUGGGGUUUUGACUUUAGCAAUCCCAUUAGUUAAAACUUUAUUUUAAUGGCACUAACUACGGGUACCAACUCCAGUAACAGAAUCAAAGUUUAGGUAUUCGGAUUGGUCAAAAAAUAGUUUUAGUACCAAUGUCAAACAAAGCAAAUAGUUCAAGGGCCUCCUAUUCAAUUAAGCCUUUAAUAAAAUAUCAAAUUAAAGAGAAGGAUGUUGGUAAAUGUGCUCGUAUUAUUGUAAACAUUUACAUAUUUUCUAUGCAUUUGAACGAUGAAUAAAUAAAUAAAGUUAAUUUCACAUUUCACUUUUGUAUCUUGUGUUUCUGUCUUCCAUGUUUUACUUACGUAUCGAAAUUGUAACAAGCAAAUGUUAGCUCAUUGAUUGUCUAAGUUGAAACCGAUGAUAAGUGUGGCACUAUAAGAAUGUUUACAUUUCCAGAAAGAUAAUUUACUUCUAUUGAUAAUCUAAACGAGUCAGUAAUCCCGUAAAAGAAUCAAAGUGAGCAUUUGAUUCAAAUAUUCAGAAGCAUUAUUAGGUCGUCUAUAAUUCUAGUUAGGGAUAUGAUUAGUGUUGGUUGUCCGAGCAGUUGAAUCCACCGGUAGAGACAUAAAUGUAUUGCUUUGAAGAAUGAGACAUUAGACUGAACCUAAGAUGGAUCAAUUCACUUGUGACGUUCAUGGUUUGACUUACCUAAAUCCUGAGUUAGUCACUGACCAUGCGUAUGUAACUCAUGUGCUUUGAUAUUAGUGUAGUCUUAUGCUAUUAACAUGACCGAGUCGAUAGCCAAUAUGUUGGGUACAUGACUUGAGUUUGGCAUUGCUUUACUAACAACAAUGAAAUCCAUAGCUCGACUAAGAGUUAACGAUAUCCUCUUCUUGAUAUUGUUUGGAUUGAUUAAAUGGAUUUGGCCACGGGGUUGCUUAUUCUCGAACGAGUAAUUUGUCAGAGUCACUAGUUGGCAUUGAUCAUAUUAACAGUUAAGAAGACACAACGAUGACGAUAAGAUAAAAUAUGAUUUUAUUGAGUGAAUAAAUCUAACUUAAAGGACUCAAUGAUAUCAUAUGAGAUCAUUAGACAAUGUAGUUGGAUGAAUUGCUUUCAUAAAGAGUAAACAAUAAGUAGUUUUCAAUCGCGGUACUACAUGUGGACUGACUUCAAGAUUAAGUAAAUUGUGAAUUAUCUGAACGAAGCUUCUGGACAUAAUUGCAUUUACUCGAGCCUAAUUGUAUAUGUCCAAUUCGUCCCUCUGCUAGCUCAACAAAAGCUCAAUCGGACUGCAUUUGAAUCAAAAGAAAAUUCUAUGACUUUGGAAAUAAUUUAAUUGAGUCGAUUUAUUCAGGAUAACUAUUAUGCCUCCUUUAUUAGAAACACAUUGAGUUCGACUUACUCUCUCACUAUCGGAGAUAACAUACACAUACAAACAUCCAACCAUUUAGUGAUUUCUUUUUUCACUACCUCCUCCAUAGUUGGUUUAACUGAUAUUACGCAUCAACAAUUGGCUUCUUACCUUAUUCCAGCAAAAGUUAAAAAAAUAUAAAUUAUAAAAAUAAAAAACAAUCUAAUUAGAGAAUAGGAACCAAAUCCACAACUAACACAUAGUACGAGACUAAUAGCUUAAUUUAAUCUAACAAAUUUAACUUCUAUUGUUUAUGCAAGUACUAGAAUUUCAAAUUAAAAAAGUAGAAUAAUUAAAAUUGAUCAGAUAAAAGUAAAAGGACUAAAUCCACAACUAAUGUAUGGUAAAAAGAUUAAUAAAAAAAAGUCAAUCGUAUGAAUUAGGGUUUAUUUUUUAAGUUUACGAGCACAAUUACUAAGGUGUGGAUAAAAAUAAUAGCCAAUUAUUUGUAAUUUUUUAUUACCUACAAGUUCUUGUAUAAAAAUAUUAUUUUCAAUUAAUUAUCAAAAAAAGGAAAAUGUUAAUAUAUGGUAAGUAUAUCUAAAUUAAUGGAGCUAUUAUUAUCUUGCCAUAGGUGACGUAUAGAGCAUAGUGCAAAAUCUUCUAUAUGAUUUUUCUCUUCCUACAAAAUUCGCAAGUAUAUCUUCACCUACCAAGUCAUAACUUUACUGCAAUAUUAGGUUAAAGAAAUUCCAAGAAAUUCAACUAUAAAUGGCCAAAUGCAUGUCAUUUUUUGUAUAUCAUCAGCUUGUUAUCAUAUAACUAACUCUUUGUUUCAUCUCUCAAUAGCUUUCAUUUUAAACUAUGGCUUCUUUCGGCGUGGUUUCUCUUUUUGCGGUUUUGCUUGUGGCUUCUUGUUAGUAUCUAAAAUAUUUAUCCUGUUCGAUAUUUAAUUAUUACAUACAUAUAUAUACAUGUAACUUUUUUAGUAUAAAAGCGAUUGCAGUAUUAAAAUAAGGGAGGGGUUGCAAUCGUUGCGAUUCAAAUCCUAUGUGUCUUAAACUUAUAUAUAAUAGGUAAUAUAAUAUAACUAACAAAAUUUUUAAAUGAUGAAAAAUUUGUUGUUUAAUUUGCAGGUGUAUCAAACUCAGAAGCAUGCACUCGUGACAUAGACUGUUUGGGCCAGUGUAAACAUGGUGGUUUUUGUGACUUGACAACUAAAAAAUGUAGUUGCUUGCCGGUGUCGGGGCAGCUACCAUCUAACAUUGCAGCAACAGCGGACGCUAUGCAGCGAUGACGAAAACUGCAAAGGAUUGCCCACCAGCUUGUUAAGCCCAUAACAUUCAAGGUGGCAUUUGUGUCUGCAAACGUUGUGCCUGAAGAAAAAAGAAAAUCCGAACAAAAAACUCUAAAUUUAAGCCUUUCGACAAUGCCAUAUAUUUUAAGAUAAACUUUGUAUCCAAAAAAUUGGCAAAUAAAUUAUUAAUGAAUAAAAAGGUUGUCAAAGAGAACUUAUUU